RNAcentral lists this ribosomal RNA (459 nucleotides) under uncultured bacterium. RNAcentral describes it as "partial 16S ribosomal RNA". It matches the Rfam family "Bacterial small subunit ribosomal RNA", at positions 338 to 795 of the family's 1533-position model. The record is from RNAcentral.
CCUACGGGAGGCUGCAGUGAGGAAUAUUGGUCAAUGGCCGAGAGGCUGAACCAGCCAAGUCGCGUGAGGGAAGAAUGUCCUAUGGAUUGUAAACCUCUUUUGUCAGGGAGCAAAGUCACCCACGUGUGGGUGUUGGAGAGUACCUGAAGAAAAAGCAUCGGCUAACUCCGUGCCAGCAGCCGCGGUAAUACGGAGGAUGCGAGCGUUAUCCGGAUUUAUUGGGUUUAAAGGGUGCGUAGGCGGAAUGCCAAGUCAGCGGUAAAAUCGCGGGGCUCAACCUCGCUCCGCCGUUGAAACUGGCGGUCUUGAGUGGGCGAGAAGUAUGCGGAAUGCGUGGUGUAGCGGUGAAAUGCAUAGAUAUCACGCAGAACUCCGAUUGCGAAGGCAGCAUACCGGCGCCCAACUGACGCUGAAGCACGAAAGCGUGGGUAUCGAACAGGAUUAGAUACCCGAGUAGUC